This 747-nucleotide ribosomal RNA is filed under the name uncultured cyanobacterium. RNAcentral's name for it is "bacterial SSU rRNA". It matches the Rfam family "Bacterial small subunit ribosomal RNA", at positions 8 to 796 of the family's 1533-position model. The record is from RNAcentral. Lineage: Bacteria; Bacillati; Cyanobacteriota.
AGAGUUUGAUCAUGGCUCAGGAUGAACGCUGGCGGUAUGCGUAACACAUGCAAGUCGAACGAAGUUUUUCGGAACUUAGUGGCGGACGGGUGAGUAACGCGUGAGAAUCUGCCUUAAGGAUUGGGACAACAGUGGGAAACCGCUGCUAAUACCAAAUAUGCCUUUUAGUGAAACGGGUAAAACCGCCUUAAGAUGAGCUCGCGUCUGAUUAGCUAGUUGGUGUGGUAAGAGCGCACCAAGGCAACGAUCAGUAGCUGGUCUGAGAGGACGACCAGCCACACUGGGACUGAGACACGGCCCAGACUCCUACGGGAGGCAGCAGUGAGGAAUUUUCCGCAAUGGGCGAAAGCCUGACGGAGCAAUACCGCGUGAGGGAGGAAGGUUCUUGGAUUGUAAACCUCUUUUCUCAGAGAAGAAUAAUGACGGUAUCUGAGGAAUAAGCAUCGGCUAACUCCGUGCCAGCAGCCGCGGUAAUACGGAGGAUGCAAGCGUUAUCCGGAAUGAUUGGGCGUAAAGGGUCUGUAGGUGGUUGUUCAAGUCUGCUGUUAAAGCGUCUGGCUUAACCAGAUAAAGGCGGUGGAAACUGAACGACUAGAGUGCGGUAGGGGUAGAGGGAAUUCCCAGUGUAGCGGUGAAAUGCGUAGAUCUUGGGAAGAACACCUGUGGCGAAAGCGCUCUACUGGACCGCGACUGACACUCAUGGACGAAAGCUAGGGGAGCGAAUGGGAUUAGAUACCCCCGUAGUCC